This 689-nucleotide ribosomal RNA is filed under the name uncultured Paludibacter sp. RNAcentral's name for it is "bacterial SSU rRNA". It matches the Rfam family "Bacterial small subunit ribosomal RNA", at positions 8 to 688 of the family's 1533-position model. Lineage: Bacteria; Pseudomonadati; Bacteroidota; Bacteroidia; Bacteroidales; Paludibacteraceae. The record is from RNAcentral.
AGAGUUUGAUCAUGGCUCAGGAUGAACGCUAGCGACAGGCCUAACACAUGCAAGUCGAGGGGCAGCACAUGAGUAGCAAUACUUUGGUGGCGACCGGCGCACGGGUGAGUAACACGUAUGCAACCUGCCUGUAAGUGGGGAAUAACCCGGAGAAAUUCGGACUAAUACCGCAUAAAACUGCGAAACUGCAUGGUUUUGCAUUUAAACAUUUAUGGCUUACAGAUGGGCAUGCGUAUGAUUAGCUAGUUGGUGAGGUAACGGCUCACCAAGGCAACGAUCAUUAGGGGUUCUGAGAGGAAGGUCCCCCACACUGGUACUGAGACACGGACCAGACUCCUACGGGAGGCAGCAGUGAGGAAUAUUGGUCAAUGGGCGCGAGCCUGAACCAGCCAAGUCGCGUGAAGGAAGAAGGUUCUAUGGAUUGUAAACUUCUUUUGUAAGGGAAUAAAAAAGAGUACGUGUACUCUAUUGUAUGUACUUUACGAAUAAGGAUCGGCUAACUCCGUGCCAGCAGCCGCGGUAAUACGGAGGAUCCGAGCGUUAUCCGGAUUUAUUGGGUUUAAAGGGUGCGUAGGCGGAUUGAUAAGUCAGCGGUGAAAGUUUGCAGCUCAACUGUAAAAUUUGCCAUUGAAACUGUCGAUCUUGAGUGCAAAUGAGGUAGGCGGAAUGUGUUGUGUAGCGGUGAAAUG